RNAcentral lists this long non-coding RNA (208 nucleotides) under Elaeis guineensis (African oil palm). Its description in RNAcentral is "long non-coding RNA (EGUI_LNC044348)". Lineage: Eukaryota; Viridiplantae; Streptophyta; Magnoliopsida; Arecales; Arecaceae. The record is from RNAcentral.
UAAAAUUUGAUGGACUCACGACACUCGUGGCACACCAAUCUCACUUCCCAAACCCUAGGUAGAAACCCUAGGGUACACACCAAAAAACCUUGCGCCCAAUUUUCUUUCUUUUCUUUCUUUUUCUCUCGAAAGGUUUUGGACCUUCACCUCAUGCACAAGGCUUCCUCAUGCCCCACUUUCUUUCUCAAAAUUUUUUUACGCACACCCC